Molecule: long non-coding RNA, 4534 nt
Organism: Dendroctonus ponderosae (mountain pine beetle)
Lineage: Eukaryota; Metazoa; Arthropoda; Insecta; Coleoptera; Curculionidae
Exons: 2
Source: RefSeq, a predicted model, not a curated record
GGAUUUGUUUAGCGAAUUAUCACAAGCAAAAGUACACAAAAUGCAAAUUCUUAAGCAAAACAGAUAAUUGGUUUUAUUCUGCAAAUACCAGCAAUUAAAACUAAGAAACUCAUACCGCAACAGUUUUACGUACAACUAUAACAAAACGACCAAUAUUUUAAAGACAUUCCUCUUGAAAAACUGAAGACGUCAAAAGCAAAAACACCCUGUAUAAGCAAUAUGAUGACCAAACAAUAGCCAAUAUAUUUUGAAAAAUUCGUUGUUUGCAUAUUUAGACAAUCGGUCAGAAAAUCGCGGUUUUGGUCCUUCGAGCAGGAUUUUGCAUAGUUGAUCACCGUUAUUUCCAUUCGGUCGUGAGCCGGAAUAAUUCUCCGGAGCAGAAAAAAAAUCCCGUUUUCGAUUUGGAAGACGCAGCAAAUAUCCAAAUCAAACUGGUCAGAACUAUAAAAUGCUUUCCGGUAGCUGAAAGCCUAAGAUGCUGCGUGAUGAUUCAUCUAUCUAUGAAAUUAAGAAAUAGUUUCGACAUUACAACAAAAGCUUUUAAAUAAGAAACCCUCUUGAAAAUGUAUGCAAUGUUAACCAUUAAUUUGGUGUUUUGCCGAAAGUUUAAUUUCGUAUUCAGCACAACAAACUGCUAAAGUUGGGAGUUUAGGAGAAAAUGUGUGUGAAAAUUGACACAAAACCUGAAUUAAAAAUAUACCCAAAAAACCCUCACUAAUGGCGCAAAUCUCUUUCAGUCCAAAGCAAUGCUUUUUUCCAUACCAACAUUUCCAGCACCGACUAUCUUAGAAAAAAAAAACCAUCAAAACUUAACGUAAAUUUUUAACGCUUAUAAAUAUGUUCAAAAGUUUUGUUUUUAAUUAAGGAUCGAUGGAUAUCGCAUAGUUGUCUCGCUAAUUUGUUGGUCAAAACGAAGACCAGAAGUAAAAGUAUUUGUCACUACCAAAACGGAUCUAUAUUUUAAGCUGUGAAGGUGUCAAGUUGGAACGUGGCAACACGCAGGCCAUCGUGCAUCUCACAUAGACUCGUAUGUGUGCGAAUACGACAACCGAUGCUAGCCACGUUCGUGAAUGAGGAAAUCGGUUUUAUUUAAUGGCAAUCGAGUCAGGGAAAAGUUAAGGAUUUUACGACUAUCGCCUGGGUUUUAAGCAACAAGCUAUUGAAUUUUUAUUUUUUUUCAGUUUCAAGUAGAACCAACUUUAGUUUCUUCUUGUUAGAUAUUUCCUCUAAUUGAAGCCUGAAAUAAUUUAUCUCUGACUUAUUAAUGCCUAACUUAUUCGGAUUGCAUACGGUUCGAUAAUUGUCCCUAACAGCACUCAGCUGCAGAUUUUUACGGCUAAUCAGCCCGGAGAAGAAAAAAGUGAUAAGAAAAGGUCAACGCAAAAAGACGCAAGUUUAGCCAAUUCUUUUUGGCUUCAGUACUCGAAUUGGAAAAUGAAAAAUUAUCCAGACUCACUCUUUGAAAUUAGUCCAUUAUUGCAGUUCAAUCUGAAAUUAACCGGAACGUAUUUCUUUCAUUUCGUUUAGAACGGUCAUUUUCAGCUUUAAACAGUUUAUUUGUUUUAAGUCAAAUGCAGCAAAUCGAAAAUAUGAUUUAACUCCGUCUAGAUAGACACUUCCUUCUUAAUGUCUCAAAACACGCUACUUCGUUGAUCUAAGAACCAUAUUUAUUGUCUCUAAACACAUUAGUUUUGGAGGAAAAUUGUGAAUAAAGUAGUUUUCGAUUUGAAAUUUGCAUUUUUGAUGAGUUACAUAUAUUUUCGCUUCAAUUCUCUAACUAUAAUUUAGCUAGAAAAUCCAACAAUGAUUUCUAUAUUUUAUACUAAUUCCAACAAUAUUUUAAGAAAUGUUUAACCAUCUUGCUUUAACGUUAGGUAUUUAGAAAUGGUUUUAUCAAUACAAGUGUUUUUGUUUUUUUCUUUUUCAAUUAAUUUGGAAAACUGUGAAUAUUAAUCGUUCUUCUAUUCGAUUAAUUUCAAAAAAUGCUUGCAAAUGUAAAUACUCUAUAAAUGCAAUGUAAUUCAGCCUGAAAAUUUCAAUAUUUUACUUUCCUCGGCUUCUUAAGGUUUACCUACUUUCUAUUUAAGUUAGGAAAAGUGGUGCUUUGGAUCGAAUUGCAAGGAAAAAGUUCGAUUUCUUUCGGGGGGUGCAAUUUUUAGAGCAAUUUUCAAGAGGGUUGAAAUAGAUUUGGCUUCUGUAUUAGAAAUCCUAGAUUUAUAGUCACAAUUGACUAUUUUAUUUACUAGCAACCGCAAUAUGCGUAUAUGAGGCAACUGAAAAUAUUAAUCUCAAAAAAGUGAAGGACAAAAUUAGCAGAAAAUAUUUAAAGCUGCCAACAAAAAAUAACGAUAAAAUAAAUAAUAAAAAUAUGUUUUUAAUUCUUAUCUCUCCGAAAUGAUGAGGAUUUUAAGCAAGUGUAUUUAUUAACGGAAAGCAAGCUACUAAAUAUUUUUUAUUCUCUUAUUUUCGCGCAAGAUAGUAUUUUUUAAUGCUAGAUUUUAAGCGCAAUCUUCUCAUAUGUUGCACACAUGUGAAAUUUUCUCGAAUUGGGCAAAUUAGUCUAAAAAAUGUUUUAAAUGGUAAAAAUUGGAAUCCAAAACUAUUGCCACUGAAAUGUAAUGAGUUUAUCUUGCACUUAGGGAAAUUUCUUUUGUGGAAUGUAGUUUUUAGCAACUUUGGCUCAUUAUAAUUAGAUCAAUUUACACCUGAAAAGUCGCGCAAAAACGCUGGUUACAAUCAAAUUUCCAAUUUGAAAAUAGUUUCUUAAUUGACACGACGAAAAACUUGUGCUUGCACUAUGAAACGUCCAAUCGAUAUCAUUUUGAGAGAAUUCGUGCGUUAGAAACAACCGAUUGCAAAAAGCCAAAUUUAAUAAACAAAAUCAGUGUUUAAAGUCAGAACUGAAAUUCGCUUCAACGUUUGCAUGCGAUUUGGAUCAAAUUAGGAGUUUUUUUGCCCAAGUGAUUAGAAGUGACCCAGAUUCGCCUGAAACUAUAAGAUCACUUGAAUGCUUUGACCGAUAAAAAAAUUUGAAAGGAAAUUUCCAACAUUUGGCCGAAAUUACGAAAGAGGAUGUGCAACCUCUGAACCUCCCGAUAAAAUUAAUGAAUCAAAUACGCUAAUUAUGAAAAUGUAUUCGACUCGGAUUUCAUUCAGCAAAAGGGUCAGACGGUAUUUUUAGUUCAUUUGUCAUCGUUCAGCUAUUUGCUUUGUUUGUUUGUUUGGUUUUGACCAGGUUUUUACUUUUUAGAAAUUCGACCCAAAGGAUGUCCUGGCCGAGCGAGGAUCUUCCGAGCUGUACAUAUUAAUUAAAUUAUUAUUUAUUGUAGUCUAAGAGCUUAUGAAUCAGUCGCUGUUCACAUGCCACUAAGUGAAUUAUGUUACUUAAGAUAGUUUUAUACAAGGUGUUUGUAAAUAAGGUAAUGCAAAAUAAAACGACCGAUUUUUUUAUCAAUUUUUUAACUGCACAGCCGUCUGACAUUGAAUAUCCAGACCACAUCCAGAGACAGCCAGAUUAAUAUUUAGUAAUUCGUUCAUUCAUAAAUUCACCGAAACACAUUGCUCAUGCUCGACCGGGUUUAAUUGGAAUUAAAUGGUCGGGAAUUUCCACAACAGCAUUUUUAUUAAGCCUCGUCAAAUCUUAACAAGAUUAAGUAGAUGCAUGUGAUUGACGAUGUCAAGCCACUCACACCAUGUGGCCAGAGUUUAUUUAAUAAUUUAACACUGAUUAAGAAAAGCUCAAUCACUGCCUCUACGGGAAGAAAGGUCAAUAAUAUUCAUAAAUCAUCCCAAGUUGAGCAAAAUUUCGCAGUAGCAAGUUGGUGUGAGUUCAUUCAAACCCGCCUGGAUUCCAGCCAGUCUAUAAUAAAGCAUGACCAAUUAUUGUGGCGUAUUUAAUAUUCACACACAAAUCGCUUCUUAUCGUUAGUGCUGUAACACAAACAAAUCAUUAUUAGCUCUGUCGUAGUACAUGAUAAAAGCGAUUCAAUAUUUUUAACCGCGAUUGUGGUGGAGACCUCUGCUGACCAUGGGAAAGCUAGUAAAAGUAAUUUUUCUAAUUGCUGUUUUUAUUGCGCUGCAAAUACAGGGUGCACCCAACAAUUUGCCUCGCAAUUUCACCAAAAUGGGCUAUCAAUUUGUGAACAAGUGUGGAGAGGGCGAGAUUCCUCUAAGAGGCAUGUGCAGACAAGUGUUCAAUUACUAUGAUCACUACUAGUCACCGAAGCUCAAUAGUAAGGUUUUACUCUACUUCCACUUCAGAAGUCUCAGCAACUCAACAACCAAUCACAUGCAAAAAAUGUGCAUAUGUCAUGUAAUUUAUCAAUAAAAACUAAAACACCAAUCAGCUGAAAAAAGGAGGAGAAAAAACAACUAAGACAAUAGGAACAGUGUUAUAAAACAUUUCCAUUCAUGAUGGUAGAUAAGCACAUUGUUACCAGUUAUCAAUGAGUUUUAUUGGGACAUGGAUAACAGCAUUAUAAAUUACAAUACAUGUAUAUGAUAAACCAUAUAAAAGUAAUGAUAAAAAAAUUAA